This 72-nucleotide transfer RNA is filed under the name Camelus bactrianus (Bactrian camel). It matches the Rfam family "tRNA". From Rfam's summary of the family: Transfer RNA (tRNA) molecules are approximately 80 nucleotides in length. Their secondary structure includes four short double-helical elements and three loops (D, anti-codon, and T loops). RNAcentral also lists the same sequence under 2 other names. Lineage: Eukaryota; Metazoa; Chordata; Mammalia; Artiodactyla; Camelidae. The record is from Rfam by way of RNAcentral.
AUAGGAAUAGCUCAGUGGUAGAGUGCAUGCUUAGCAUGCAUGAAGUCCUGGGUUCAAUCCCCAGUACCUCCA